This 502-nucleotide long non-coding RNA is filed under the name Chinchilla lanigera (long-tailed chinchilla). RNAcentral's name for it is "lncRNA (ENSCLAG00000022763.1)". The record is from RNAcentral. Lineage: Eukaryota; Metazoa; Chordata; Mammalia; Rodentia; Chinchillidae.
AUGCAUUCUCCUUGAUGUCCUUAUAAUUACAGGAGACCCAGACAUACACAUAUGCAUGGAGAAAAGACCAUGUGAAGAGAUAGUGAGAGGACAACCAUCAGCAAACCACUGAAAGACACCUGAGGAAAAACCAAGCCUCCCAACCCCUUGAUCUUGAGCUUCAGACUUGUAGAACUGUGAGAAAAUAUAUUUCUGUUGCUUAGAUCAUGAAGUUUUUGGCAUUUUACUGCAACCCUAUCAAUUACAAUUUAAUACAAGAAGUUAAUGAAGACCCCUUCACUACUGCCAUCCUGAGAUCAUCUUCACUCUCAAGGCUUUCCCAAAUGUCGUGGUUACCUCUCCCAGGGAAGCAAACAGCUGCAAGAAAAUAUCAGCACUGUUGAAGAGCCAUAGAGAGGAACACUUGGUUAAUGACAAUGUGAGAUCGAAUGGCUAAAUGGUAAUUCUUAAAAUAUCAAAUUAAGGAGAGUCUUGGUUAUUAGUGUCUCGGAAAAACUGCCCA